Molecule: unclassified non-coding RNA, 326 nt
Filed under: Hevea brasiliensis (rubber tree)
Lineage: Eukaryota; Viridiplantae; Streptophyta; Magnoliopsida; Malpighiales; Euphorbiaceae
Source: RNAcentral
ACAACGUUGGUUGAGUGGGGAAGGGAGCGAGGGUUGUACAAUUUAGGGCAGAGCUAUGCUCUUUAUAUUACCAAUGAAAAAUAGCUCUUGGCAGAGUCUUGCGUGUUCCUAUUGANNNNNNNNNNNCCUACAGGUCAGAAUCUACCAUUUACCAAGCACAUGGUUUGACAGGUGCUCAUCAGAAGACCAGCUCAGAAGGGAAAUCAAGUAACUGGGGGAGAAAACAGAAAAGUGUGUACUUUUUUUUUAUCUUUAGAUUUUCCUUCUUUAAUUCAAAAUGAAGUUUUCAGCUCUUAAGAUGAGCACCUGUCAAACCAUGUGCUUGG